AGCGGCGAACGGGUGAGUAAUGCUUCGGAAUCUUCCUCGUAGUGGGGAAUAACCUGGGGAAACUCAGGCUAAUACCGCAUACGAACUACGGUUGAAAGCGGGGGCUCGCAAGACCUCGCGCUAUGAGAUGAGCCGAAGUCGGAUUAGCUAGUUGGUGAGGUAAAGGCUCACCAAGGCGACGAUCCGUAGCUGGUCUGAGAGGACGACCAGCCACACUGGGACUGAGACACGGCCCAGACUCCUACGGGAGGCAGCAGUGGGGAAUAUUGGACAAUGGGGGCAACCCUGAUCCAGCGACGCCGCGUGUGUGAAGAAGGCCUGCGGGUUGUAAAGCACUUUUAGUGGGGAUGAAAAGCACAGUUCUAAUACAGCUGUGUCUUGACCUAACCCAAAGAAAAAGCACCGGCUAACUCUGUGCCAGCAGCCGCGGUAAUACAGAGGGUGCAAGCGUUAAUCGGAAUUACUGGGCGUAAAGCGUGCGUAGUCGGUUAUUUAAGUCGGGUGUGAAAUCCCCGGGCUCAACCUGGGAAUUGCAUUCGAUACUGGAUAGCUAGAGUUCGGCAGAGGGAAGCGGAAUUUCCGGUGUAGCGGUGAAAUGCGUAGAUAUCGGAAGGAACAUCAGUGGCGAAAGCGGCUUCCUGGACCAGAACUGACGAUCAGGCACGAAAGCGUGAGGAGCAAACAGGAUUAGAUACCCUG
RNAcentral lists this ribosomal RNA (699 nucleotides) under uncultured Acidibacter sp. RNAcentral describes it as "bacterial SSU rRNA". It matches the Rfam family "Bacterial small subunit ribosomal RNA", at positions 94 to 789 of the family's 1533-position model. The record is from RNAcentral. Lineage: Bacteria; Pseudomonadati; Pseudomonadota; Gammaproteobacteria.